UUCAGUCCGUCACUAAAACUGCUCAGUCAGCACGGGUCCUGGCGUGUUGUGGAUAGAGCACCAACCAGCUUGGGACAGAUGAACAGUACCUUGAGUAGAGACACCUGAAAUAGGCUCUCAGAUGGAAAUCUGGAUGCAUGAGAGAGAAGCACUGAGACAGCAAGUCCAAUGCCUGCCCUUUUAAAGCCCUGCUCACAAGGCUGCCGCUGGAUGUCUAGGAACUUGUGUCUGAAGAGCACUCCCACCAUCCCUAGAACCAGCUAAAAGGUUCCACGAUGAAAAUCAGAAAAGAUGACUUGUGUUUGUAAGACACGCCGCCCUGCUUGCUUCAAACCACAUGAAGAAUAAACCCUAACACCAGCUGGAAAGCAAACUACAUAAAAACUGGAUUGCCAGUGUGCUGGUUAAUUUUUGUCAACUGGAUGCAAGCUGGAGACAUCUGAGAAGAGGGAACCCCAAUCAAGACAAUAUCUUCAUUCUUGGUUAAUGACUGACAUGGGAGGGCCCAGCCCACUGUGGGAGGUAUCACCCAUAAGUAGAUGGUCUUCAAGGUAUAUUUAUGGAGUCUGAAGAGUAAACAGAAGCAAAGAGGCCGGCCGAAUGGAUGUUUGAGAAGGGCAUGUAUCACCUUCUCCUUCCAACUUUAUAGAAGAUCUGCAGCUCUUGCUACCUUGAGGCUAUGAAGAUAUGCUAAAUUUGCCAAUGUGCAGAAGCAUUUACAUUUGACUCACACAAUAGCAUUGAUGCUGAGUGCACUGUCCCAGCGGAGAAUGCUGAGUCCUCGGUCCUGCAUAUCUUCACAUAAGAUGUCUGAGCAAAGCAAUAAAAGGACAACGCCACUGUGUGCGCCAGCCCAGGACUUCCCCUUUGUAUGAGCUGAGUCACGCUUUUCCUGUUGUCAACUGGAAGGCUGUCCGUUGAUGUACGAUAGGGCUGGCUAUCUUGCUGAUGUCUAAAGCCAGGCGGCAAGGUUUCCUUGCAUUUGUUUCCCUUUCCUUGGGCUCUGACCAAUUAGAAGCUGCCCACUGGCCGAAAGAGAUAAGGAGUGGCUUACGGAGGCUCUGACGCUUCAUGGAAUGAACUCAUUUCUGACGAUUUGCUUCUGUUUGAGUGCUUUCUGGGGUUCCUGCCUUGCACAAUCUUACUGAUUUUAACACAGGGCUUUGGGGUGUAUAUAUGCAUUUUCUGCCUGAUAUCUGCUCCAUUGGCACGUGCUUUAAAACCACAGAUACAGUUGAUUGGCUGGAAUAAAAAAUGUGACAACGGGAAGUCAGAGGAUGGAAUCAACUGGGAAAUAAGCCUAACAAGCAAAGUUUCUGCUUAGGAGCCAAGACGGGAAUACUGUUCUGAGGAACAAAUAAACAGAACAAAUGGAAUGAAAAUGUCUGUCUGUCUGUCUGUCUCUCUCUCUCUCUCUCUCUCUCUCAAAAACAAGCACUCAGACUGUGCUAACUAUAUUAUCUUCUGUGCCUUGUAACCAACGAAGUGGUUCCGGAUAUUAACCCACAGUACUGUUGCUAGACAUGACACGAUCUUCCAAAUGAAGUGAGAGGCAUGUUUGUGUGUGUUAGCUGGAAAAUGCUGGCAAUACUAUAGUUGUUUGAGGAUCACUAUCAGCAGCGGGCUUUAAAAAUAAAUGUUCUGGUCUAAGUUAGUCUCUUGGUGUAUUCAGCAAGCAUCUACUAAGAGCUUCAUCCAGGGAAGGCACUCUUGGAGGCAUUAUGAACCACAGCAUUCCUUCUCAUUCAUGCGCCCCUGAGGGUUGGGCCAGCACUGCUCUGAUUUCUCAAGACUUCUGAGCACCAGUCCUCAGAAGGGUUUUUAUUUCUUCCAUG
This is a long non-coding RNA of Alexandromys fortis (reed vole), 1835 nucleotides long. RefSeq lists it as uncharacterized. NCBI's taxonomy places the organism in Eukaryota, Metazoa, Chordata, Mammalia, Rodentia, Cricetidae. The transcript has 7 exons. The record is from RefSeq and is a predicted model, not a curated record.